CCAAUAGCGUAUAUUAAAGUUGUUGCAGUUAAAAAGCUCGUAGUUGAAUUUUGGAUUCUACCAAUCGGUCCAUCUUUUGAUGAGUACUGGUUGUGUGGGGUCUAUCCGCCUGGUAAUACGUAAUGUCCUUUAUUGGAUGUUGCGGGUAGUCAGGACCUUUACCUUGAAAAACUUAGAGUGUUUAAAGCAGGCUUAUGCCGGAAUACAUUAGCAUGGAAUAAUAGAAUAGGACGAAGUUGUUUUAUUUUGUUGGUUUCUAGGACAACCGUAAUGAUUAAUAGGGAUAGUUGGGGGCAUUAGUAUUCAAUUGUCAGAGGUGAAAUUCUUGGAUUUAUUGAAGACUAACUAUUGCGAAAGCAUUUGCCAAGGAUGUUUUCAUUAAUCAAGAACGAAAGUUAGGGGAUCGAAGACGAUCAGAUACCGUCGUAGUCUUAACCAUAAACUAUGCCGACUAGGGAUCGGGCGAUGUUGUUUCAAUGACUCGCUCGGCACCUUAUG
Molecule: unclassified non-coding RNA, 498 nt
Filed under: uncultured Archaeospora
Lineage: Eukaryota; Fungi; Glomeromycota; Glomeromycetes; Archaeosporales; Archaeosporaceae
Description: SSU rRNA
Rfam family: Eukaryotic small subunit ribosomal RNA
Source: RNAcentral